UUAUAGAUGAUCAUCUGAGUCAUCCUCCAUGCUGGAAGAACCAUCCGCCCUCGCGUUCCUCUCAUUUCCGAUAUGCAUGUGAAUGUGUUUUAGUUCUUGACGGAGCUUGAUUUUUUGAUUCCUUUUUGAUGCUUAACAUGCGUUGUAUAUUCUUCAAACACUCGAAUUGUUUUUCUUUGCUAUUUCAAGGGUUGAAUAGGCUUCAAAUCGGAAGAUCCUAUUAUUGCGUUCUUUCCAG
RNAcentral lists this long non-coding RNA (238 nucleotides) under Elaeis guineensis (African oil palm). RNAcentral describes it as "long non-coding RNA (EGUI_LNC023006)". Lineage: Eukaryota; Viridiplantae; Streptophyta; Magnoliopsida; Arecales; Arecaceae. The record is from RNAcentral.